CGCGUAGGCGGCCCGAUAAGUCUGCUGUGAAAGUCCAGGGCUCAACCCUGGAAUGCCAGUGGAUACUGUCGGGCUAGAGUACGGAAGAGGCGAGUGGAAUUCCUGGUGUAGCGGUGGAAUGCGCAGAUAUCAGGAGGAACACCAAUAGCGAAGGCAGCUCGCUGGGACGUUACUGACGCUGAGGCGCGAAAGCGUGGGAGCAAACA
Molecule: ribosomal RNA, 206 nt
Filed under: uncultured bacterium
Lineage: Bacteria
Description: partial 16S ribosomal RNA
Rfam family: Bacterial small subunit ribosomal RNA
Source: RNAcentral